Molecule: RNA transcript, 5262 nt
Organism: Xiphophorus maculatus (southern platyfish)
Lineage: Eukaryota; Metazoa; Chordata; Actinopteri; Cyprinodontiformes; Poeciliidae
Gene name: nascent polypeptide-associated complex subunit alpha, muscle-specific form-like
Exons: 4
Source: RefSeq, a predicted model, not a curated record
GGAGGUCAUGAUGGAGAGAUGCGGAGAGAAAGAAGCGGGGGAGAGGAGGAAGGGAGAAAGGAGAGGAGCAUCUGAGAGUGUAACUGCCUGUUUGCUCACUCUUGUCUUCUUGCUCCCCCUCCUGUCCUUUCACUUCCACUCACAGUACAAACACUCAGACAACUAGGUAGGCACAGCGCAGAGCUGUGAGGGAUGGAGAGCAGGGUUCCCACGUGAAAGAAAGGCUUGAAUCCACGGGAGAAGAGGAGGGUGAGAUAAAAGACAACCUGAUAAAGGGGGUGAAGAGGAGAGUUGAGGAGCAGGUGGACCAAAGGAAAGGAUGCAACGUGAAGCUCACCAUGCAGCGGUGACAGAGAGGAGCUAGCACCAUCUUCAGCCAUGGGAGAAUGACACUUUGACUCCACAACUAAAAUAAAAGAAAGUGAAAUCAACGAAACAGACAAAGCAGUCUUGACGACAUAAGUUUCAAAAGGCAGCUCGUUAUGGGAAGACCCUCCGAAGACCAUCCCAUACAUAGGCUACUGGGGACAAAACAUGAGUACAAGAACGGACUGCCAAGUAUGCAAACCUAAGGAUGAACAGGCUAUAUUCCCUGACUCUCUGCCCAUUGGCAUUGCAAGCCUUUUUGGCCUCAUCAUGAUAUUUGCAAGGGGAAAUUAGGAGAAAUGGGAGUAAAGGAAAAUGUGCACAUAUUUAAAGGACAUAUAAAAGCAUGGACAUGUUCACUUUAACAAAAUUUGAUGCUGCUUUUCUCUAAUUUAUCUUAAUAUGUCAUAUUUUUGUAGAAGUGAAGGUAAAAUAUCACAGUUGCUGUAGAACUUAGCAUUGGUCACAGUGAUCUGACACACCCUUUUUACUGUCUAUGAUGUUGGUUUACCUUUACCUGUGGACAUUGUAGUAAUUCUUCUUAAGGACAAUUAUUCUACAAAUGGACUAAGCUUUGCAGGAGUUGACCGAACUUUGUUCGGUUUUAUGAGGAAAAUGGGACUCAUCAAUAAAGUACAUAGCUCUCACAUGCAUUUAAUACUAUAGCAAAACAGUAAUGAAAAACGUACUUUCCUUGUUGACACAUGAACAAAAAGGCCUUUAAAACGGCAAACUGCCUGUGAAUGUUGGGGAAGAAACAGAGUGGCCAGAGAAAUGGUGAGCAAGGAGCCUAAUCACUUGCUCACAGGCCAAAGCAACGGCAAGAGCACCUUGGCGGACAAACUGCCUGGAACAAUGACUGUACGCUCUGUGCUGCUUAAUCGAGACUCACCAGAUAUUGAAAGUCGCCUCAAGCGCCGUCGCAACCGCACCCAUCAGGUUCGCUUCAAAGACCUUGAGGAUGGCAGUAGCAGUAGUGGCAACAGUGCAACAGGGGAAAAUAACACUCGUCAACGGACUGCCAAGGACCGUGACAGCCCACAUCCUCUCCGGAAACACAACACCAUGUCCCCUCAGCCAUGGACAGAUAGACCACACACUGAGGGCCUACUUGGUCAAACCUCUGUGGUGGGGGCUGUGCGUGGGGAUAUGGCAAGUACAAUAGAAAAGGUGGCUGCUUUUUUAGCACGAGCCCCACCUCAUCCACUAACACCUGGUCCUACACGCAGAUGUUGGGUGCCACCACAGUCUAACUCUCUAACUUUACCAAUGACACGAAGACCCAGUACAAGCACCAGCACAGCCAUUCAGACUUCACCAUGCCUCAUAAAACCUCAGUCUCUCUCAUCCACCCAUGCACGUAGCCAAAGCACUGGGGACUCAGUUGGUGUGGAUGGAGAUGAUGAGCAUGACUCUCAAGAUGAGUACCUUAGCCACAACCAUGUGCUGCUUGGGUCCAAAGAUCAGAGUAGACCUCUGAGCUGUGGGGAUAAAACUGUGGUAGAACGAAGAUCUAAAGUAUCAAAGACAGAAAUUAAGUCAGGUGUUAUGGUAAAACCAUCCAGACACAGCUGUCCACCUUCAGUUCUUCACAAUAGUGAUCUGUGUCACAGUUCUUCAGUAUCUUGCCGAGAUGGUCCCAAGCGCCAGGGAAGUAGCACUCCUUCAGUAGUAAGGAGGAGAAAGCGCCUAAGCCGGACAACAAGUGAUCCUGGAAAAGAAGUGCACUUCUGCACAACUCCCACACAAACUGAAAGCCCCCCUCGAUCGCCUCCUCCUACAAAUACCAAACUGUGUACAACUGAAGUUCAAACUGAGGGUCCAUCUUCACCUCCAGCUUCAAAGCAUUGCACCACCCAAAGUCAAAAUGAACGUAAACAUCAGUCUCUAAAUUUGAGUGACGAACACUGCUCAACACAAAUUCAAACCACUAAUUCUUGUCAAACCCUACCUCAAAAUGUUGAGCAGUGUACCCCUCAAAAACAAGCAAACUCUCCAUGUCCAUCUUCCCCAAAUCAUAAACCUUGCACUACACAAUUGCCAACUUGUAGCUCUGUUGCCUCUCCACCUUUAGUUGCAUCACCCAGCUUACAUUCUGACAUACAAGUGUCUGCUUCUGCAGCUGAAAACCCUCCCACCACCAAAAUUUCUACUGUGCCUUACUGUACUUCUCCUCCAACACUGGCAAAUGCACCACUACAAAUCACUGAAAAAGGCUAUAAGGCAGCUUCUUCAUCUCCUACUAAGCCAGAAAGUGUCACUAAUCCUCCACCAAACAUCCUACCUUUUUCCUCCACUCCUGCACCUUCUGCUGCCCAAAGCCCUAUUCCUUAUUAUACUGUUUUGUCUCCACCAACACCACCCAGCAAAACUGCUGCUUGCUCUAGUCCUUCCUUUACUGCCCCUCAGUCCUCAUCAUAUAACUGCAUAUCCCCAGUAUCAAUAUCAUCCUCUUCCUUAACCUGUUCCACCCCUACUCCAAAUGUAAGCACCAUUUUAACAUCUUGUGAACCUAACAAACAGCCCAAUGCUGUCCCAAAUGUAAGACAUCAACAACCACCAUCAGGUCCAACAAAUAAUGUAUCACUCACAAACCUCACACCCUGUACAAUUGUGACUCAGACUGCCCUGUCUUGCACAUCCAUAUCAUAUUACACCAGUACUCAUCCAGGUGGACCCCACACACCCCAGAUUAAUCAAACAUCACCUUCUUACACCACUGUUAUACAAACAGUAUCUCAUUGUAACAUACCGUACCAAACAGUGCAAAACAACCCCCCUGCCAGCACUGGGAUAACCCUUUAUCCCUCCCCUGUCCCUAGACUUGAAUCGUGCACUUCUCCACCUCCAAUUGUGAAAGCAUAUGUGUCCACUCUUCAGAAUGCUCAAGCUUGUGGGACUCCAACUAAAGCUGUUCCUUUGUACUCUUCAAAAUUUCGUGCUGCACCACCAUACACUCCCCCUUCUCAAGCCCCCUAUAAUGCUCAGGAUAAGAGGGGCAUUCGACUUCCACCUCCUCCUCCACCACCUCCUCCCUACACACCACGGAAAAAAGGAAGUGAACCUGCAGUUGCCACAGCCCUAACACCCAUGCUUAGGACAGAGAGCAAGGCCAAUGAAAAAGGUAUGGAGAGGGAAGAGAAAAAGGAGGAUACAAUGGAUAUGAAGUGUACAGACUCACCCAAGUUCUGUGGGAGACCCAGUUCUCUGAAGCACAGAGCUCAAACUCCGCCAGUUGCUGUGAUGAAGGGAGAGAGGCGCUCCUCUACCUCCUCCCCUGCCAAGGCCUGUUUUAAGCCCAGCUGUCUUAGCUCAGCCCAGGCUCAGCUUGGGGUGCUACACAAAAUGCUCUGCUCAGGAGCCAGCGUCAGGCCCAACACACCAAACAGCCAACACUCGCUGCCACCUAACCAGCAGGGCUGCUCUGGUGCCAGGGGCUGCUCUGCCUCUGGGGGUCAGCCUGCAACUGGGCCGCUGAGUCCCACAAAAGCUGACACUUUAAGACAGGUUCAGGAAAUUCUUGGAGGGUUGAUGUCUGGGGCCAGGUGUAAACUGGACCCAUCACGGGUGACGGAAAAGCUCCUGAGUCCCAAUGGACCCCUGCAUGAUAUUCGUAGCUUGCAGAACCAGCUUCACAGUUUGGAGGGCGUCCUGGAGACAAGCCAGAAUACGAUUAAGGUCCUGCUGGAUGUCAUUCAAGACCUUGAGAAAAAGGAAGCAGAGAGAGAUGGGAAGAAGACUGGCGUACUCUGAGAUCCUUGUGCCAGAAAUGCUGCUCAGUGAGGUAACUUGACGUAUCAGAAGGGUUACACAAAUAAAUAUGCAGCAACACAUGCCCCUGUUACCCCUGAUAUGUCAUCUGUGUGCUUUUCAACAGAAGACAUUCCUACAGAACGGGGCAGGACAUUGAGAACUGUGGGACCUGCAGAGACUGCGCCUGCAUCAUCUACAGUGUGGAGCACGAUUUCCGUCUGCAAGAAGGGCAGGUGGUACGAACUUGGAAGGUGGGUGACCCUCCAGAGGGCUCACCACAGACUCCCACCUCCCAGGCCACAACACCUCAACAGCAAGACUCUCCACAACUAAUGCGACCCCCUGCCUCCACCAAGAAGAACCGGAAGAAGUGCUUUUGGUUCCUCUGAGCGUCAGGGGAUGGGGGAAAAAAAAAAAAAAAAAAGACAUUUUGUUACUGUAAUGCACUGCACACGCUUCUUUACAAAAAAUAAAUAAAUAAAAAAUUUGGGGAGGGGUUAAAAAACUGUGAAACUACCAGGAGGAUUAAGAUGCAAACAAAUCACUAUGAGGGAGAAACAGUUUUUAAUCUGUUUCUGUUAGACAUGAUGGAAAUGAUUUCACUAGACUGCACAUGUUGUUUUUUUAAUGCAUCUUCAGCACUUACAAAUUUGAUCCAGGUGCAGGAUGGGAAAAAAUGCUGAACUCAAGGAAAUGCAAAAGUUUAGUCUGCCAUAUAACUCAUUGUCAGGAAGCUAUUAGGAGACAUAAAGAGAAUAUAUACUAUCCAGGUAUGGGGAGAAAGGGGCAAUACAGCAGAUAAGAGAGCAUAUUUAUUAAAGAUUAAAUUAGUAGAAUUUAUGGGGAAGGGGAGAAAGAGACUGAUAUUUUUCUUUUAUGGACUAAUGAGGGUCAGCACACCAGCUUUUAUAUCAAGUGACAUUUAAAAAAAAUUAUUAUGACCCGAUUUAAAACUUUCAUUAUACUGUAACUGAUGAAAUAUUACAUGUGUCUACAUGUGCAUACAAAAAAAAAUCCCACAUACUUACAAAGAAAGUAUAUGUGAAUUGAUAAAAAUGGUGAAUUGAGUUCUGUAUGUAUCAGAGCUGCUUGGAUGCUUUAUUUCAGAUAUGGAUUAAUGCUCUAUAAAAGUAUUUUACCACA